This 21387-nucleotide long non-coding RNA is filed under the name Nicotiana tabacum (common tobacco). RNAcentral describes it as "long non-coding RNA (NTAB_LNC008949)". Lineage: Eukaryota; Viridiplantae; Streptophyta; Magnoliopsida; Solanales; Solanaceae. The record is from RNAcentral.
UUUUUUUUUUUUUACUCUGAUAGAUUGGAUCUCUUGCUGAGAGGACAUAUCCAGCUUUGUUAAUCUGUAGCAAUUGAAAAAGCAAAAGCAUUGGGUUGGUUUUUACAAUCAAAGGAGUCAAAUCUUUUUUCGGUCCUCUGUUUCUAAGAGAAGUAGUGCCCCAACUAUCUAAAACAAAAACAUCUCUUCACUGUAAAGCGGAGGGUGAGACUUUUUUCUAAGAAUGUUAAAAAUAAAUCAUCGCUCGAGGAUGCAUCUUAGGGUCUAUGGGCAUAAAGUUUCAGCAGGCUUGAGAAGCUUAUGCUUUUCUCUUAAGGAAGUCCCUUUGAUUGCCCCAGCAGAGACAGAAAUGCUAGGGAACUUAUUCCUGUUUGGCUAAGCCUUGGGAGGUAGAGUAUCUGUUAUCUAUGCUGGUGGGAAGUACUAUGUGUCUAGUAAAAUAGUUGAGGUGCUCUCAAGCUGGUCCGAACACCAGCAUUAUUUAUUAAAAAAAAAGUUCAUUUUAAUUGUUGUUGCGGGUGGGUGUCAUUGUAAAGCACUCUCGACUUUUUCAGCUUUGGAUUAAACAGGAUAUCUAUUCAGAAACCAUGUGGAUCAUUCUUUCUUAUAUGCUCUCGCCACCACAACUAAUUCUCGUAGCAGAAAAACAAAAUUUCUCUUAUAUGGUAACCUUUUAGUUAAAAAUUUUCUCUUCCAAAAGCAGUUAGUUUUCAUUUGCUUUCACCUGAGCUUAGACAUUGAUCAAGUUAUUAAAUCUAUUUCUUUUUGAACUUGUAGCUUGUGCGUUUGAAUCAAAAUGGAAACAAGUUUCAAGAAGACUGCCUCGUAAAAGGAAGACUACUGAGGAGCAGAAGCCAGAAGACAAUGGAUCUUCUGUAUUAUUGCAGCAUAGACAUGCAGCUCUGAAUCGCGUUCAAUGUUUGAUCGACUGCAGUCACUUAAAUAUUGAUUGGAAGUCUAACAUUUCUGAUUUAAUAAGUUGAAUUUAUUGUAUUGAAAAAUGCUACCACAGUUUUAAAACUUGCAAGAGUGACUUAUAAGUUUUGUUUUAAAUUUACAUGAGUAAAUAUAGUUGUGAAUUUUUAUAGGUAGGGAAUCAAAGAUGUCUAAACCAUUAAUGCAUUGAUAUCUCGAUGACAAUCUAUAUCUAUAUAUAUAUUAAAGCAAAAAAGUUUACCUUCUCAUUUAGCCAAGUGGCAAGCUAAUAUAAAGCCACUUGGCAAUUUAAGGNNNNNNNNNNNNNNNNNNNNNNNNNAUAGAACAACACUCCAAUAUUCAUUGCUGGCAUUAGUUUGCAAUAUCAUCUUACCGUUUGAAGGGAUAUAGAGGAACUUGACAUUUUUAGAAAUCUCCUUUAUUUCCUUGACUGCUUCAUCUUGUUUCUUUCCCUAUGGUGGAGCAUUUUUCUUGAGCAUCUCCAUGAGUGGAGAAAUGUAUGUAGAGAUAUUUGGGAUGAAAUCUCUAACAUAAUUUACUAUGCCCAAGAAUUGUUGAAUCUACUUUGUUGUGAGGUUGGUAUCCGGAAAUUUGAGUAAUUCUUGACAUAUAUGUGGUCCUGGACUGUAUUCACCUUGGACAAAAUGCAUUCUAAGAAAUUCAAUCUCAUUUUGAGUAAGAACCAUCUUUUUUGCUGAAAGCAUGAUUCCGUACUGUGUUACCAAUGCCUCAAAUUGCCGAAGCAAGUUGAUAUGUUCCUCCAAUGUAUCACUAAAUAAAAGGAUGUCAUCUAUAUAAACUAAAGAGGUAUGGAGAAUGGGUUGGAAUAUUUUUAUCAUGGCUUUUUGGAACAAGGAGGGUGCAGUUUUCAACCCGAAGGGCAUGACUUUCCAUUGGAAGUGAUGAUCGGGGAUGCAAAAUUCUGUUUUGGGUCUUUCUUUAGGGUGGAUUCCCAAUUGCCAAAAUCCGAAUUUUAAAUCAAACUUGAAAAAAUAUUUGGCCUUGGCUAAGUGGGAGAAAAUGGUGAGUUUAUUUGGGAUAGGAAACUUAUCAUCUUGGAGGAAAUGGUUAAGUGGCUGGAAGUUGAUGACUAUCCUGAGUUUUCCUCUUGUCCGUUCAGCUCUUUUGUUGACAUAAAACACUUCGCAUGCCCAUUGUGAAUCUGAUGGGUCUAUCAUAUCAAAUUCCAAAAGUUCUUCACAUUCUUUCUUUGCAAGAUGAAGAUGGUCUGGAUUCAUCCCUGAAUGGCUGGCUUUUGUUGGAUUGAUAUUUUCAUUCUUCUUGAAAGGGAGCUUGAUAAAAAACUCUUCGUUUUUCUAUAACGAGUGUUUCCCUUUCUUCAUGAAAUCCUUGUUGGAUUCAGCACAUGAUUGUUCAAUGAGAAUUUGCUCAUAUUCUUUGAUUUGUUCGUCAUCAGUGAUUUGGAAUAGCCUUGGAAUCUCAUAAUAAGGUCUGAACUGCUUUUAAAAGCUAUCCCGUUAUCCUUGAUCUGGAGUUGAUCUCUAAGUUGUCUGUAAAUGUCGAAUCCAAUAAUGAGAUCCUUUCCUGGUACAUCAGAUCCUAGUAGUUUAGUUCUGUACUUCAAUCCUGGAAAGAACUCAAUAUUGACUGGAUGCUUUGUGAUGACGGUGGUAGUCAGGAUUCCAUUUGAUGCAAUGUUAAAAUCCUUAAAGUGCGGCACCCAUUGAUCUUCAGGGAGAACGGAAGGAUUUAUGAGUGAGGAAGAAGCUUCGGUCGAUGAAAGAAAUAGCUCGAGUUGGUUUAUCCCAUUUGGAUGAAUAGACCUUGAGUUCUACUUGAGGAACGACUAUGAGAGCGUUGAUCUCCUCUCGGGCUUCGAUCACUGGUUCUGAAAUUUGGUAGUGAUCAUUGCCUUGAUCUUCAUAGACAUCAAGAGAGAAUAAAGUUUCUUCAUUAGGUUCACCAUCCACAGAGAAAAUGGAUUCAAGGUCCUCCUCUUUUCCGAGAUGUAUGCCAGUGUAAUCUUCAAUCUCUUCAAGGAGUUUGACAGAUCUUCUUAAUUGGGGACAGUUUUUAGCGAAAUGUCCAAUCUUGUGGCAAAUAAAACAUCUAUUUUUCUUGUGAAAAUUUCCUGGCCUUCUACGUCUAAAAUAUUUUGUGCGUCUCUUGGACCUUGAUUUCCCGUAUGGAAUUCAUGGCCAUUUGAACCUCCUAAAUUCUCUCCGUCGCCUAGAUGUGUGGCAGGAACAUCUGUUGAUACCUAAUUUUUCCCUAUAUAUUUCUAAUAUGCAAAAUACUUUCAAAAUAGCAUAUGUAUGCAUAUAUAAGUAUGUCCAAAUGCUUUAUUAUUUUUCAUUAAUUUUUUAAAAUUUUAAAAAUCAAUUUAUUGCCCUAUUUUAUCCAUAAAAAACCCAAUAAUUAUUCCCAAAAUUAUCAUUUUUGGUGAUUCAUUUAUUGGAAUAUAAUAUUUACACUAAAAUAUAGUUAAUGUGAUUUUUGCACAUUUUUACAAAUUUAUUUAUUAUUUUUAAAGCUAAAUUGCAUAUAAUUGCAAUAUUAGCCUCUUUUAGAUUUAAUUACGUUUAUGCCUAUAAAAAUCAGGUCCAAUAUUUUCAAUUUGAUAAUUAUGUACUAUUAAACAUUUUAAUACCUUUAAUUAUUUCCAAAAAUUAAUUUAUUAUUUUUUAUAAAUCAAAUAGGGAAUAGUGGCUAUUUAAAUGUUAGCCUCAUUUUGUUUCAAUUAUAGCCUGAAUUGAAUUCUAAUUUGGAGCCCAAUUACCAGAACCCAAUCCCUAUCUGAACUGACCCAUGACCCUUUUUAAAUGACCCGCCCGGAUUCCCAUUUAAUCCCAACCGUUGAUCGCUCAAAUCAACGGCUCACAUUAAACCUUUCCUUUUUUUUAAUUCCCAACUACCCCCUAACCCUAAUCACAAUCCACCUGCAGCCGCCUUUGAAUUCACCCUUCUCUCCCAAUUCUCUCUCAAACUCCCUCUCAAACCCUAGCCGCCACCUUCAACCACCACCCUAUUUGCUUCUUUGAACUGGUAUGUUCCGAUUAAAAUACCAGCAUCACAACAAUGUGUUUGCUUAAUACUUUUACCUUCUCGUUUGCCUACUGCUUGUGUUUAGUAUAGUACUUAUUUUAGUAUGCUGUAAAUUCCUUCUACCUGUUUUGAAUCUAUUAUGUGUCCUAAACCCCUACCCCAAUGUGUUUGAUACUGAUGGUUUGUUUGAGGCAUGAUAGUAUUAAGUAUUGCUAUCUAUGACUCAAACAUGAUUCCCUUGGGAUCAUAACCUCUAUGUUACCAUUAUAUGGUUGCAUAUUUUGGUUGAUUUUGUAAGCAUAACAGCACUCCCUAUUGCUGUGCAUGCCCAGAAUUAACUAAUGCCUAAGUGCAUAGGCGUUUUGCAAUCCCCAAUCCCUAAACCCCUUUGUGUGAAGUCCUUAAUUCUGUAACUGUUUCCCAGCACCUCUUUCCCUCUUCUUUAAUCUGUUUCUUCACUUACACUCUCUCUUAGACUUAGGUUCUGCCCCCCUCUUGAGCUCCCUCUGAACUUUGACACUUGAGGGCUGGCACUUCCACACUGCACUGGUCCCUAUUCUGGUAAUACAAUUUGGGUGUGAGCACUGCCCGGAGUCCCAUUGAGGCUAUUAGAGAACUCUGACACACUCAAUUGGAAAAAGGCUUUGGAUCAAUGAUCUUUGAGUUGGUUUAUCUCGUAACUUAGAGAGGAAGUCAAGAAUCAGGCCCCAACUGGUUGUAAUUUCUUUGUAUUUUUUCUGUUCUGAUGUAAUUCGUUAUUCUGGUUUGUAAUUCAUUGUAAUAAACAUUUGGGGCUGGCUAGUGAAAAGGGUUGGGUAGCUAUGCAUGCAAGGGUAGAAGUCAUGCUUAUAUGAAUGCUUUAAUUUUUGCGUAUUCAGUCACAUAUAGAAAUCAUGCCUAUAGGGUUGUUCUAAUUCUACACAUUCAACUCCAUAUAGAAACCAUGCCUAUAAGACUAUUUAAUCCUGUAUAAUCAACCACAUUUAGAUACCAUGCCUAUAAGGUUUAAAACAAGCUUCUGCAUUUAGAUACCAUAUCUAUAAGGCUUAAACGAGUUCUGCAUUAUGUCUAAAAUAAGUCACGCAUAGAAAUCAUGCCUAUAGGGUUUCUUAAGUAAUUCUGAUCAAUUCUCAUUCACAACCGACGUUAGAUAUAAAAUCGGUAAUAGUAGAACCUGUGAUCAAUUUGUUUAAAUUCUGCAUCUCUUUGUAAAUCUAAGUCCCUCGCUUAAUAAAGUAUAGCAAGCAUGCCUAUAGGGGUCAAACAAUUCAUUUCAAGUUUUAUUGUCUUAUCCCCUUCUGAAUUCAGUAGAUAUCAUGCUUAUAGGACCCGUCUAACACUUAGGCAAGCCUUAGAGUAAUGACUAUAAACUGAAUCUGCUCCUGUUAAUCAUUACAACCAGCAGGCAGGCCUGAUUCGGGCUUCUUAUCUGAGUUAUGUAAUAAACUAAAACUGCUUCAACAAUCCCCUUUUCCUCGUCUUUAAUACCUUAAAAUCAGACCUAAACAGUAUGUGUAAGUCAUGCUAAUUAUGUGCUUUCUUUGUUUAAGGAGGGAUAUAUGAGCCUUGUUUGUGUAUAUGCUUUCCCCUUGAUAUGCAAUAUGUGUUUUGUAUGUCGCCUUAGAAUUUUUUACCUUUGAAACUCCAAAUAAGCCCAACAUCCCUCCCUUUUAGGAUUAGUAGUCCUAGGUGCCUUCGGGGCUGAUAGGAAUGGGACGGGUAAUAGCAUGCAAUAAGUAAUCGAGACCAAUCUGCGCUUUAAUACCUUAACGGGAUGGGAAGGGUAGAUAUGGAUAUGAUGACCACGCGAUAAUGUCACGUGUUGCCCCUCAUUGAGGAGUGAUUACCGGAUAUUGUGUGGGGUUACCCAUACUUUUUUUAUAAACCUAAGACCCCCUUUUCUUUAUUCUUUUAGCAAUUUAACUCCUAAUUCUAAAAAAUCAGCUUUUCUAAUUAUUCUUUCAAACUUUAUUUACUUUCAAACCAUCAUGUGUUGAAAUCCCCUCUUAUUUGAGCCUUAGUUGCUUAUAUGGUAAUUGCACUCCAAAUUCACAAUAAUUAUCUGGCCGGGAACCGCACUAGUGGAUUCUAAGAGGUGCCUAACACCUUCCUCUUAGAAUAAUUUCAAACCCUUACCCUAUCUCUGGUUGUUCAAAUCAAACCCUUUGGUGUCCUAAUGCACCCUAAUCAUUAGGUGGUGACUCUUCAAAUUCAAACCCAAUUCCCAAAAGGAAUGAGUUGUCCUUCCAAAUGACAUAAACCCGGACUCUACGAAGAAAAAGGGGGCACGACAACAUCCUGACCCGGUGAUUAGGUCAGAUUUGCGGCAUGCUUUGUCAAGCGCUAGAUUGUGUUGGAUAAUUUGUUUUAGGGCAGAGCGCUUCGUAAAAAUGUCAUCUAUGCGACGAAAAUAGAUUGUCUGAUAUAACUAAUUUGAGGGAUUGUUACAGACUAAAACUUUUCUUCAAUGAUGGUCAUAGUUCGGCUUACCAACAACUUUGGAAGGGAAGAGAUAAUGGCUUGAUUUAGAUUGAUGUCUCCACCGAUCUCGAAGUAUAUCUUCACCAUUUUUUGAAAAUGUCUGUCAAUGUCAUAUCUGUCGAAUGAUACACACUUCAUCUCGAAGAGUUGUCUUCGCAUUUUCUCCUGUCUUUGGCCAGUAUCUCUACAGAAAACUUCAUGUACGACUUUGAUGUUGAACGCAAAAUCUUGGGAUGUAAGAAAAGUAUUUUUGUUUUGAAUUUCAAGUGAGUUCCACCAAUCUUUGAGAAUUCCUGAGAACCGUGAAGUGAGUUCUGACAAGAUGAUAUACUUUUCUCGUUCCACUAAAUUUUUGGUCACCAUCCAAGUAUAGAAGUCUUGGAUCCUUUGAGUCCAUCUUGAAACCUUGACAUCAUCUAAGGUGAAAGUGUGGAAGCUAGUUCCAACUGGUUUUGACGCCAUGGGCUCAUAUCUUCUUUCUGGGAUUGGUUUAUCUGUCAUGCCUUCUUGUUCCUCAUCUACUUCAGAUACUUCUGGGUCUCUUGGCUAAUUUACAAAUAUUGGGGGAUUGUCAUCUUCGGAAGAGUUUGUUGUGGAUUUAUUGCUUGAUUGAGAGAUAUCUUCCAUUGUUUCAUCGUCUGAUGAAUUCAGAAUUCUGACCAUGGAGUAUCUUCUUCUGAUAUGUAUCUUGGUUGGGAAACAUAGAGGUCUAGAGCCUUCUGGUCAGAAAUCAUCAGAUUUUCGGGGUUCGAUCCUUUUGAACUUUCUCCUUGGUCUCGCCUUUUCUUUGUUUGUUUUUGCGCCGCAAGAGCGUCCUUCCUUUCCCAAACCAUUUUUGUAAUAUCAAAAUCAUGUUCUUCUUUAAGGGUUGGGUGAAAGUGAUUGGAUUUUGUGAGGUAGAUGGAAAAGUAGAAAAGGUGUAGUCUAAUUUAGGUGGGCAAUAUGCUUGUGGAGACAUGGGGAAGAAGGUAGGUUUUGAGUGGAAAACAGGGGUUUUUUGUGGCUCAAAGUGGUCAUUUAUCAAAAGUUGAAUUUGUUCUCUAAUGGAAAUCGUCCCCUUUUGUUGUUGUUGGAAAAAUUGGAAAAGUGAAUCCUUUCGGAGGGAAGAGCAGUUUACUAAAUAUGUUUGAGUCAUUUCCAUCAUCCUCUUCCCUAGAAAAAAUGAAUAUGUCUCCUACUCUAUAUAAAGCCUUGUCCAAAAAAAAUGAUUACCUCUAUGAAGUAAAUAUCCUGCCCGAUGAACAAAAAGUAUCCUCCACUGAAAUACCCCUCAUAAACCCCUACUCAGCUUUUGUCAAAAAAUCAUUUGCACCUUGGACCCAAAUUCGUUUCUUAGUCCAACACAGAUCAAAAGGAGUUAAAGAAUAUGUUGUUGCCUCAAAACUUGACCAGCAUCCUAUAAUUGCCACUCGAGAGGACCAAUUUAUCACCCUUCAAAUCCCAGAUGAUUUUCCCAGGCAAUGGAGAGAUCAUGGUUUUACCCAUAUCCAUUUUGGUGCUAUCCGAAUCGCUUUAACAUAUCACGGAAGAAAAAGGUCAACCUGUUGUAGCUCGACUUUCUCUUCUAGAUACAAGAUACUUGGAGUACCAACAUGCAAAUCUGGGCACUGCAGAAGUUACCCUGAAUGCUGGGACUGUCUUCAUAACUAUCUUUCCAAAUUUUAACAUGUCCCUUUAUGAUCCAUACUUAACCGAAGAACUAAAAAUCCAAGUCCAAAUCCAAGGAGCCCCUCAAGCCAAAGAUUCCAUCCAAGCCACUAUUCAUCACCAAAUGGCGUGGUGAGUCCAAAAUUAUGCCAUGGAUCUUUGCCUUCCCGGAGGAGAAAAUGCUUUACACUUAAAUAUUGAUGCUACCAAAGGAAACACCAUGUGCACCCAAAUACCCAGACAAAUUUCUAGAGAUGAACUUGUCAAAAUUCUUCCUGAUUCCUGGAUCACAAAUUAUGAAAAGUUAAGAGAACCAGAGGAAUCUCUGCAAUCAGGUGAACCAACUUUUACCAAAAGAAAUGACAAAACCGUCUGCAUAAGCUUUGACCAUUCCCAUCUCAAAAAACCCAAUAAAACCAUCUUUUCUUGCCAAAUGAUUCAACCCAAAGGUACAACAAAUACAUACCCUGGACCUGAUGGAGAAUUCUUUUGGAAUAUACAAAGCAUCAUGGAAGAACAUGAUUGGUGUCAAAAUUUUAACAGAGAAGGAAAAAGAGCUUGGUGGUUCAAAUGCCCCUUUACAGGACCCUGCCCUUGGGAUUUUGAUUGCGACUCCCAAGACUAUUUGGAAGAUCUAGUUGGAGAAUAUGAUGAACACCACCAGCGUUAUUGGGAAAGGUUCGGCCUCAACAAAACCAAACAAAAAUCCAAGAAAAAGGGGAAGACCAUUGAAAAACAAUUUCGAGCCAAAUAUGAAAAUAAAGAUCCUUCAAUUGGCUCAUUAAGCCGUCCAGGUAAAUAUGAAUUUCUUGUCAGUUACAAACCCCAGGAAUGGCCAAAAUUACCAGAAAAAUUUACUCCAAGCUGGGAGGAUAGUGAAACUACACCCAAACCCAAAUCACCAUCAGCUCAUACCUCAGAAUCCAAAAAGCCACCUGAACCUGAAACUUCACCAACUUAAAAAAACCACAAAUCCCACACAACCACAAAUAUUCAUGCUAAGUCCUUCAAGAUCCAGUCAUACCCUAGAUUUUCCUUCACUCCAACCUUUUGAAAAGGAGGGUAUAAGCCAUGUUCCAAAAAUUCCCAAGAAAAACAUAGUGCUACCUACUGGAGAAAAACCCCCAACAAGUGACAUCGAAGCAACAAUGAACUGGCAAUCAGAAAACUCCAUCUGCCAAAACAAGGUAUUGAACAACAUUGGCAACACCAUAAGGAACGUGGCCCAUACACAAAAUAAAAUGAUGAGCAAAGUGGAAACAAUUGAGAAAAAUAUGGAGCAAACAUCGUCUCACCAUGCCGGACUAAUCAAAGCCUUGGAACUGAGGUUGGCAAAUUUACAAUACGAGAUUUGUCCUCCAGGAACUUCACUUUUCCAAUUUUUCCAACAACAACAAAAGGAAAUGAUUUCCAUCAGAGAACAAAUUCAACUUUUGAGAAAUGACCACUUUGAGCCACAAAAGACCCCAGUUUUCCCCUCAAACCCUACAUUCUUCCCUAUGUCUCCACAAGCAUAUUCCCCACCUAAAUUAGACUACACCUUUUCUACUUUUCCAUCUACCUCACGAAAUCCAAUCACUUUCACCCAACCCUUAAAAGAAGAACAUGAUUUUGAUAUUGCAAAAAUGGUUUGGGAAAAGAAGGACGCUCUUGCGGCGCAAAAACAAACAAAGAAAAGGCGAGACCAAGGAGAAAGUUCAAAAGGAUCGAACCCUGAAAAUCUGAUGAUUUCUGACCGGAAGGCUCCAGAACUCUAUGUCUCCCAACCAAGAUACAUAUCAGAAAAAGAUACUCCAUGGUCGGAAUCUCUGAAUUCAUCAGACGAUGAAACAAUGAAAGAUGGCUCUCAAUCAAGCAAUGAAUACACAACAAAAUCUUCCGAAGAUGACAAUCCCCCAAUAUUUGUAAAUCAGCCGAGAGACCCAGAAGUAUCUGAAGUAGAUGAGGAACAAGAAGGCAUGACAAAUGAACUAAUCCCAGAAAGAAGAUAUGAGCCCAUGGCAUCAAAACCAGUUGGAACUGGCUUCCACACUUUCACCUUAGAUGAUGUCAAGGUUUCAAGAUGGCCUCAAAGGAUCCAAGACUUCUAAACUUGGAUGGUGACCAAAAAUUUGGUGGAACGAGAAAAAUAUAUCAAUCUGUCAGAACUCACUUCACGGUUCUCAGGAAUUAUCAGAGAUUGGUGGAACUCACUUGGAAUUCAAGACACAAAUACUUUUCUUACAUCCCAAGAUUUUUCCUUCAACGUCGGAAUCCUACAUGAAGUUUUCUGCGGAGAUACUGGCCAAAGACAGGAGAAAAUACGAAAACAACUCUUCGAGAUGAAGUGUUUAUCAUUCGACAGAAAUGACAUUGACAGACAUUUUCAAAAAAUGGCGAAGAUAUAUUUCGAGAUCGGUGGAGACAUCAACCUAAAGCAAGCCUUUGUCUCUUCCCUUCCAAAGUUGUUGGCAAGUCGAACCACGACCAUCAUUGAAGAAAAGUUUCAGUCUAUAACAAUCCCUCAAAUUGGUUAUAUUAGGCAAGCUAUUUUCGUCGCAUUAGAUGACAUUUGUACGAAGCGCUCUGCCCUAAAACAAAUUAUCUAACACAAUCCAGCGCUUGAUAAAGCAUGCCGCAAAUCUGACCUAAUCACCAGGUCAGGAUGUUCCUGCCACAUAUCUAGGCGACAGAGAGAAUUUACGAGGUUCAAAUGGCCAAGAAUUCUAGACAGGAAAUCAAGGUCCAAGAGACGCACAAAAUAUUUCAGACGUAGAAGUCCAGGAAAUUUUCACAAGAAAAAUAGAUGUUUUAUUUGCCACAAGAUUGGACAUUUCGCUAAAAACUAUCCCUAAUCGAGAAGAUCUGUCAAACUCCUUGAAGAGAUCGAAGAUUACAUUGGCAUACAUCUCGAAAAAGAUGAGGACCUUGAAUCCAUAUUCUCUGUGGAUGAUGAACCUAAUAAAGAAACUUUAUUCUCUCUUGAUGUCUAUGAAGAUCAAGGCAAUGAUCACUACCAAAUUUCAGAACCAGUGAUUGAAGCCCGAGAGGAGAUCAACACUCUCGUAGUUGUUCCUCAAGUAUAACUCAAGGUCUAUUCAUCCAAAUGGGAUAAACCAACUCGAGUUAUUGCUUUCAUCGACACUGGAUCUGCUUCCUCACUCUUAAAUCAUGCUGUUCUCCCUGAAGAUCAAUGAGUGCCGCACUUUAAGGAUUUUAACACUGCAUCAAAUGGAAUCCUGACUACCACCGUCAUCACAAAGCAUCCAGUCACAAUUGAGUUUUUUCCGCGAUUGAAGUACAGAACCAAGCUGCUAGGAUCUGAUGUACCAGGAAAGGAUCUUAUUAUUGGAUUUGACAUUUACAAACAACUUAGAGAUCAACUCCCGAUCAAGGCUAACGAGAUAACUUUUAAAAAGUAGUUCAGACCUUAUUCUGAGAUUCCAAGGCUAUUCCAAAUCACCGACGAUAAACAAAUCAAAGAGAUUGAGCAAAAUCUCAUUGAACAUUCAAGUGUUGAAUCCCAUAAGGAUUUCAUGAAGAAAGGGAAACACCGGUCAUGGAAAAACGAAGAGUUUUUUAUCAAGCUCCCUUUCAAGAAGAAUGAAAAUAUCAACCCAACAAAUGCCAGCCAUUCAAGGAUGAAUCCAGACCAUCUUCAACUUGCAAAGAAAGAAUGUGAAGAACUUUUGGAAUUUGAUCUGAUAGAGCCAUCAGAUUCACAAUGGGCAUGCGAAGCAUUUUAUGUCAACAAAAAAGCUGAACAAACAAGAGGAAAACUCAGGUUAGUCAUCAACUACCAGCCACUUAACUAUUUCCUCCAAGAUGAUAAGUUUUCUAUCCCAAAUAAACUCGCCCUUUUCUCCCACUUAGCCAAGGCCAAAUAUUUUUCCAAGUUUGAUUUAAAAUCCGAAUUUUGGCAAUUGAGAAUCCACCCUGAAGAAAGACCCAAAACGGAAUUUUGCAUCCCCGAUUAUCACUUCCAAUGGAAAGUCAUGCCCUUCGGGUUGAAAACUGCACCCUCCUUGUUCCAAAAAGCCAUGAUAAAAAUAUUCCAACCAUCCUCCAUACCUCUUUAGUUUAUAUAGAUGACAUCCUGUUAUUUAGUGAUACAUUUGAGGAACAUAUCAACUUGCUUCGUCAAUUUGAGGCAUUGGUAACACAGUACGGAAUCAUGCUUUCAGCAAAAAAGAUGGUUCUUGCUCAAAACAAGAUUAAUUUUCUUGGAGUGCAUUUUAUCCAAGGUGAAUACAGUCCAGGACCACAUAUAUGUCAAUAAUUACUCAAAUUUUCGGAUAUCAACCUCACAACAAAGUAGAUCCAACAAUUCUUGGGCAUAGUAAAUUAUGUGAGAGAUUUCAUCCCAAAUAUCUCUAUAUACAUUUCUCCACUCACAAAGAUGCUCAAGAAAAAUGCUCCACCAUGGGGAAAGAAACAAGAUGAAGCAGUCAAGGAAAUAAAGGAGAUUUCUAAAAAUGUCAAGUCUCUCUAUAUCCCUUCAGACGGUAAGAAGAUAUUGCAAACUGAUGCCAACAAUGAAUAUUGGAGUGCUGUUCUAUUUGAAGAAUAAGAUGGCUAGAGGAAAAUAUGUGGAUACGCUAGUGGAAAGUUCAAAGAUAACCAAGGAUUUUCCACAAGAACUAUUAUGGUUUUUCUGGUACUUAUGCCAUCAGUAUUAUAUUUUCAUGGAAUUCAAAUGCAACGUCUUCAAGGAUUUUGAUAACAUUGCACCAGCUCUUAAAGUAUUAUGGUUCAAGCCUAGAAGAUAUUGGAUGAAAUGUUUCAGCGAUUCCUACGCAACAAAGAUAUUUAUGUUCCAUAGGCCAGUGAAGAUCAUUAAUGGAAAAGUCCAGGCACAAGCAGAGGCAUCAUUCUGGUGGAAAUUUCUCGUGUCCAUUUUAUCAAUGGAGGAAGAAUAUAGCGAGGCACAAAGAAUCUUUUUCCAACAAAAUAGGUGUAUCCCGAGAGAGAUAUGGACAAAAGAUUGGGCAAGCUGGAAUUAUACCAAUACUCAUCCUCACUGGGAAAGAGUCAGGGAAGCAGCAAAAGAAUAUCAAACCCCAUACGAAGUCAUCCGAGAAAAGAUCACUCACGAUAUUUCCAAAUUAAAGUUGUGGAUUACAUCUCUCAAUCCAAAGGAGAAAGAACACAACGGAGAAAGACCGUCAAGUUCCAGGCAUUACUACACAAAAAGAUGCCUAGAAGACAACCCAAGAAUCAAUGAAGGAUAAUUAUUUAAAUCCCUACUAAUCGCACCAUAAUCCUACAUUACCCACCAAAAAACCCUUCAAAAUCAUCUACCCAUGGCAAGGCAAAUUUUCACAUCUUUCCAUACUAUCCGGGCCCCACUUCCACUUGUUUUCACAUGCUUCCACAUGCUUCGUCACAUGCAACACCCUAUUUUCAUAUGUAGUCACAUGCUCCCUCAUACUUUCACAUGUUAUACCAUGUAUAUUUCGCCCCUUUCACAUGUUUUUAGGAGCUUUUUAGUUGUUUUGCCUAAAGUCCUUCACAUGCCAAAAAGGACCCACAUGUAGAUAGGUUUGCCAUGUAAGAUAGGUUUAUUUUAUUAUGUAAGUUUGUCUUGUAAUAGCCUGCUAGUCCUAUAUACAGGAGGCCUUGUAGUAGUUGGAAGAUCAUCUUGUAACCUUUGUAAAUCUUUUGUGAUAUAUUAUAUAUGAGUGCUUUCUAAAUUUCCCUCUUGUUCUUUCUUUCGAAUGGAUAGAAAGGUCGGUCCAUGUAUGAAAAUAGAGUAAGAAAACUCUUUGAAAAUUAGCUUAUUGUAGUACGAAAGUUUUCUGAGUUAUAAACAGCUAACGUUGGUUAUAGUACAAAAGUUUUAUGAGUUGUAUAGCUUGGCAAACCGUCCGUUAUGGGUUGUUGAAGCCAGCCCCUUUGUAGGAAAACUUUUGCGAGUAUAAACAAAUUAACUGUUUGUGUAGCUUGGCAAGCCGUCCUUUAUGGGUUGUUGAAGCCAACCCCUUUGUAGGGAAACUUUCGUAUCUAUAAUUUAGUUUGCUUUCUUGGAGUCUCUUACUUUGUUCUUUAUAUUGUGGAGUGUUGGCCAUGUUCUCUCUGAUGAGCAGCAGGUUCAUGCAGUGAUCUGGUCUCUACCCAAUAGUUGGGAACAUUUGAAGGUUAACUUAACCCACAAUGAUAGCAUCAAAACUUUUGUUGAUGUUGCCGUCAUGUGGAGCUUGAAGACGAGCGACUUGGUGCUGCUAAAGCUGUACCUAAUGCCUUUGUGUCAGAAUCAAGUGGUACAAAGAGAUCAAGCUUCAAGCGCAAGAGAAACUGGAAAAAUGACGGAAAGGGUAAGGAGACCGGAGAAGGACCCUCCAAAAAAAGAAACAAGCCAAAUUCCAAGAAAGGAAAACGGUUCUACAAGAAGAAAGACAAGAGCAAGAUGAAGUAUUACAAUUGCCAAGUCCCAGGGCAUUUUGCUCGUGAGUGCACUGAGCCGAAAAGCUAGCAUUUCAAAGCGCAUCUCUUAGUGCUAUAUAUAUUUCUAGCACUGUUUUACUAACUGAAUCUUAUCCUGUGUGGAUUGUAGACUUAGGGGCCACUAACCAUGUGAGUCGCAAUAGAGAAGCAUUUAUAGAGUUUCGUCGAGUUCCACCUAGAUCAAAGCAUGUAUAUAUGGGAAACAAUGCAAAGCUUGAAGUCAAAAGGAUAGGCACUUGCAGAAUGGACAUGCGUGGUGGUUAAUCUUUGAUGUUGCAUGACGUCCUAUAUGUUCCAGAGAUUCGACAAAACUUAGUAUCUGUGUCUAUUCUUCAAGAUUUAGAUUUCAAUUUGAUAUUUAGUCGUAGUGGUCUUAGAAUUACUCAAGACAAUGUUUUUUAUGGGUUUAGNNNNNNNNNNNNNNNNNNNNNNNNNNNNNNNNNNNNNNNNNNNNNNNNNNNNNNNNNNNNNNNNNNNNNNNNNNNNNNNNNNNNNNNNNNNNNNNNNNNNNNNNNNNNNNNNNNNNNNNNNNNNNNNNNNNNNNNNNNNNNNNNNNNNNNNNNNNNNNNNNNNNNNNNNNNNNNNNNNNNNNNNNNNNNNNNNNNNNNNNNNNNNNNNNNNNNNNNNNNNNNNNNNNNNNNNNNNNNNNNNNNNNNNNNNNNNNNNNNNNNNNNNNNNNNNNNNNNNNNNNNNNNNNNNNNNNNNNNNNNNNNNNNNNNNNNNNNNNNNNNNNNNNNNNNNNNNNNNNNNNNNNNNNNNNNNNNNNNNNNNNNNNNNNNNNNNNNNNNNNNNNNNNNNNNNNNNNNNNNNNNNNNNNNNNNNNNNNNNNNNNNNNNNNNNNNNNNNNNNNNNNNNNNNNNNNNNNNNNNNNNNNNNNNNNNNNNNNNNNNNNNNNNNNNNNNNNNNNNNNNNNNNNNNNNNNNNNNNNNNNNNNNNNNNNNNNNNNNNNNNNNNNNNNNNNNNNNNNNNNNNNNNNNNNNNNNNNNNNNNNNNNNNNNNNNNNNNNNNNNNNNNNNNNNNNNNNNNNNNNNNNNNNNNNNNNNNNNNNNNNNNNNNNNNNNNNNNNNNNNNNNNNNNNNNNNNNNNNNNNNNNNNNNNNNNNNNNNNNNNNNNNNNNNNNNNNNNNNNNNNNNNNNNNNNNNNNNNNNNNNNNNNNNNNNNNNNNNNNNNNNNNNNNNNNNNNNNNNNNNNNNNNNNNNNNUUAGGUCACAUAGGGCAGGAUCGAAUGAAUAGAUUGGCUAAGGAAGGACAUCUAGGUCCUUUCUCUAAAAUUGAAAUGCCAAAUUGUGAAAAUUGUCUUGCUGGAAAGAUUAUACGUAAACCAUUUGGAAAGGCUAAGAGAGCUCAUUUUCCAUUGCAAUUAAUCCAUUCUGAUAUCUGUGGUCCAAUGAAUGUGAGGGCUAGGUCUAGUGCUUUAUAUUUCAUUACGUUCAUUGAUGAUUUCACACGCUUUGGUUAUGUCUAUCUGAUCUCUCAUAAAUCUGAAGCACUUGAAUGCUUUAAGAAAUAUGUGAAUGAAGUUGAGAAUAAAUUAGACAAAAGGAUUAAGACCAUAAAACCGAUAGAGGGCGUGAAUAUCUUUCAAAAGAAUUUGAAGGAUUGUGCAAUUAAAAGGGAAUCACCAGAGAGUUAACUAUUCCAUACACACCUCAACAAAAUGGUGUACCAGAAAGGAGGAAUAGAACACUACUGGACAUGAUAAGGUCCAUGAUGGCGCAAACAAAUUUACCUAUCUCCUUUUGGGGAGAUGCGUUAUUGACUGCAACUUAUAUAUUAAAAAAGUGCCUUCUAAAUCAGUUUCUUCCACUCUUUAUGAGCUAUGGACUGGUCAUAAACCAAACUUAAAGGAUUUACAACCUUGGGGUUGUGCUGUAUAUGUAAAAGAUUCUUUUAGCAAGUUUGAUAAAUUAAGUCCAAACAUCAAGAAAUGUAUCUUUAUAAGAUAUUCAGAACACUCCAAAGGGUAUAUGUUCAUUAGUGGAUUAGAGGAUGAAAGUGUUACUGAGAUUGAAUCGCGAGAUGUCACUUUUAUGGAAAAUGAUUUUCCAAAGAAGGGCGAGGUAAAGAAUGGAGAGGCUCUUUAUGAAAUGUUGAACCCAGAUAGUCAGCAAGUGUCUUUUGACACAAUUGAUAAUCAAAUUGAUCAAGAUCUUAUUCUUGAUCCGAGUGGGAGUGGGAGUGGGAACUCUCAAUCCCGAAAUCCUUCUAACGAACCUGAAUUUCAACUACGAAAGAGUUCCAUGAAAAAUAUACCCAAACGUACUUAUGAAAUGGAAGAUUAUAUUUUCUUGGUAUCUCCCACAGAAAUGGAUGAGCCAAAGUCUGUGACUGAGGCUUUAUCGAGCCCUGGAAAAGAUGAGUGGAUGAAAGCAAUGAAAGAAGGACUAGAGUCCAUGAAAACCAACAAAGUCUGGGAUCUAGUUGAUUUUAUGCCUGGGCAUAGAGCCAUUGGGAACAAAUGGGUCCUCAAAGUUAAACGCAAAAUGGAUGGGUCAAUAGAAAAAUACAAGGCACGAUUGGUGGCAAAAGGCUUUACUCAAGAAGCUGGAAUAGAUUAUGAGGAAACAUUUUCACCAGUUGUGAAGUUUACCUCAAUUCGCUUACUUUUGGCUAUUGUUGCACAUUUGGAUUUGGAAUUACAUCAAAUGGACGUGAAGACAGCUUUUCUCAAUGGAGAACUAAAUGAAGAAAUCUACAUGGAACAACCUGUAGGCUUCAUCGUUAAAGGCCAAGAAAAGAAGGUAUGUAAAUUGAAAAGAUCUGUUUAUGGCCUGGAGCAAUCUUCAAGGCAAUGGUAUUUGAGAUUUCACAAGGAGGUGAUAUCAUAUGAUUUCACCAUGAUCGAUGAAGACCAUUGCAUUUAUGUGAAAAAGUCCAAUGGGAUGUUUGUAAUUCUUUCUCUUUAUGUGGACGAUAUUUUAUUAGCUAGAAAAAAUUUGGAGUAAGUGAAAACUAUCAAGUCAUGGCUUUCAAAGUCAUUUGACAUGAAAGAUAUGAGCGAGGCAGACUAUAUCCUUGGAGUUAAGAUCGAAAGAGAUCGUUCCAAUAAGUUAUUGAGUUUAUCUCAAGAAACUUAUAUAAAGAAAAUUUUGGAGCGUUUUCGUAUGAAUAGUUGCAAAUCCAUGGAUACUCCUAUAGAGAGAGGUGAAAUUUUAAGCCUUGAAAUGUGUCCCAAGACUGAAAAUGAAAAGGAAGACAUGUCUCGAGUUCCAUAUUCAAGUGUUGUCGGGAGCUUGAUGUACGCUAUGUUGUGUACUCGCCCAGAUAUUUGUUAUGUCGUAGGUCUGGUUAGCAGGUAUCAAUCCAAUCCUGGAAGAGAUCAUUGGAAAGCUGUGAAGAGAAUUUUCAGAUACCUGAAGGGAACUGCAGAUUAUUCACUAUGUUAUAGUGGAAAUGAUUUAUACUUGAGAGGAUAUACAGAUGCUGAUUGGGCUGGUGAUCGGAAUGAUAGAAAAUCAACAUCCAGUUAUGCCUUCUUACUUAAUGGUGGUGCUAUGUCAUGGAAAAGUAAGAAACAAACCUGCAUAGCCCUUUCAACAAUGGAAGCUGAGUUCGUGGAUUGUGCGUCUACAGUACAAGAAGCUGUUUGGUUGAAGAGAUUCUUUGAGCAUUUGAAUAUUACAUAGAACUCUCAGGGUCCCAUGAAAUUUAUUGUGAUAGUCAAGCGGCUAUUGCAUAUACAAAAGAUCCUAAGUAUCAUAGCGAGACCAAACACAUUGACAUCAAGUAUAACUUUGUAAGAGACAUGGUAGCAAGUGGAGAGAUAAAUUUACAAUACAUUCCUACGCGAAGCAUGAUAGUUGAUCCUUUUACAAAGGCGAUAUCUAGAGAACUGUUUGAGAAACAUGUUAUGGCUUUAGGUUUGCAAAGGAUAUGAAAAUAUUUAUGUAUUGUAAAAUGACUAAAGUAUUAAAAUAUGCUCAUCAAUAUUUGACUCUUGAAUUAUGCUUAUAUCUCGUAUGUGUGUGAUGAUGUUUUGUUGAUAAAGUGUGUCGAACAAGUCGCGAGAUUGGCUCUCUCACACGAGAAAUCGCCUCUUACGUUAAGAAUCGUGAAGAGAUGAGACAUUAUGGAACCUUGGAUAAUGUGAGGUUAUAUUUACUUGUAGAGGUCGGUCUUGACAAUUAAUCAGACUUACAAAUAUCACUAUUCGAUUAUGACUUGUUUUGUAAGCCAGAUGGAUGUUUCUCUAAGAAGAUGGUUUGAGGAUUAUUGAAGUGAGAAACUCGGGUUAGACAUUUAGAGGUGUCUAGACCAAGAUCUGUACGGUGUUGAACGAUUAAAAGAAUUAGGCACGCGCACCAAUAUAAUGAGAACACCGUAACAUGUGUUUCAUACCACAUGUGCUAUCGACCAUGGGAUAAUGGAAGAAUGAAUACCUGUUUCUUCAUUGUGUGAAAUCCCAAAGAAGUUAUAUCAACUUUUAUUAGAAUACCCUUUGACCUUUUAAUCUUGAAGUGCCAAUCAGUGUUGCUACUUUAGCAUGUCACUAAUAGCCAUGAGUGAUUCGGUAAUGCAGUGCAUGUCUAGGAAAGCAGUUGAUUUGGAAUGGAAAGAUUCAAGUAGAAAGGGAAGACGACUAAAAUUUAGUAAUUUAACCUGUAUUCAUAGGUCGACCAUUACACUUACCAUGAGGGUAUUGGGUGUAAUUGUGGAUAGAAAGUUAAACAUGAACUCGAGUUCGCCUCUUUUCUGAGGAUGAGGGAUCGGAUAAAUAGCUACUAGAAUAGCCAACAAUGUCUGGGGUAUUGCGAGUAAUAAUAAGAUCCUCAUGGUAGUAGUAAAUCCCUUCCGCAUGUGAUCGGAUUUCUACAUAGAGCUGUUAAACAAUCUUAAAGGGAUUAAGAAUAUUAUGGCUCUUAAUGCUCGCAGGUCGCACGAACUAUUUCCCAGUAUGAAUCAUGUGUGUUGCUUUCACGGUAGUUACUAGUUUGGAUCUAGUCCACCUGUGCGAAGUGGGAGAUGUUGGAUAUACGGUUUGGGUCGUGGGUCGCCCAUGUGGACUGACCCGACCCGUUUUAAAAAGAGAUAAAAAAGAGAUAAAACCUAAGGAGGUUACACGUAGGUUUUUACUCUCAAAAACUACCGCACGUUUCUUUUAAGAGACGUGAGAACGUGGAGUAGGAGUUAUCAUCGGUAGUUCUCCCCAUCUCCUCUUCUCUAUAUACUUCUCUUCAGUACAGAGAUUCUAGUGUGCAAAAAUUCAAGAAAGGAAGAACACAGUGAACUUUAGGCAUUUAGUUUAUGAACAAAACCUCUGUUUCCUGAAGAUUCAGAAUACGAUUUGGGGCAAUUCUUUUGGUGGUAAGUUCAACGGUUUUCGCUGCAUCAAUAAGGUACACAAUUCGUUGUUCUCGCCCCGCGAUUAUUAAGUAACAUGCCCCUUGUUACUUCCUUUCUUAUUUGCGUUGUUCUUAGGGAGAUGUCCUCCGGCCUCCUAUUCCAACUGCGCAUAUCAUGUAAUGUAGGUCGAUAAGAAGUUGCAGUAUCAUGAAAUCAAUAAACAAACAUGUGUUUUAUUUCUCUCAUAUCAGAUGGCCGUGCCCGCGUAUGCCCCAUAUUGUUAGAAAAUCUCAAAAGUUCAAUUCAGUAGAGCAGAACACUUUUAAAGCUAAACAAAUUGAAAAACAUAGCACUCAUCCAAAAGCUAGUCAAAUACAAAUAACCAACCUGUUAUAAUAUGAUUUUAUUAUUAAAAUGGAGAUUCAUAUAAAUGAAAAUUUUACCUACUGAGUAGCUACUUUCAUAUAAUUAAACAUAUAUAAGUCACGUCAACUAUUUACAAUAUUUUUCUUGAAUUUAUUGAGUGACCAAUGAGAACAGGGAGUUUUAUGCUUCAAGAAUUCUCUUAGCAUCAGCAACUAAUGUGCACGAAUACUUCUUUUUCAUCUGGAUAUAACUCCAGCGAUGGGCUUAUCAAAACCUGCAUAAUAACAUGUGAAAUAUCAAAAGUUUCAUUCAUUGAACAAACAUAUUCAAAGUGCUGAGAAUCCAAAGUCUAGGUACUAAAGUUUGUUCUAUCCAAGAAAUAUUCCAAGAUAAUAUAUGUAGUCUGUUGAUAUGAUUCUUUAUCCCAGCCAUUCAAGGACAUCAUAGAGGAAAUGAGAAUACAAAAAGUAAUAAUUGUUAUGCAAAUUUCUAGGAGUUCUAUUUAUUGCUACAAUGAGGCUGGAACCUUUGGGUUAAUGAGCGUUCCAAUAAUGCAAGUUACACCAGAAUCUCCACCUUGCCUAUAUUGUCCAGGUUUCGUAGGCGGCAGGAUAUCUAGAUAAAACUCUCAAAACUAUAAGUUAAUACAAAGAAUUGUGUAAUACUUCUACCAUUAGUAGUCGGAAAAGAACCUCAGCAAAAAAUUUUUGGGAUCCUAAUAAUCAAACUUAGUAUUUUCUUUUUGCUCUUCUUCAGGUAAAACAUCACAUGCCAAUGUUUCUUCAAUAAAAGGACUACCAAAAAUAGUCAAAAUCCAUGUUACCAACAGGAAGAUAUGUCUUAUGAUAAACAAUUCAUAAGCAUUGUUUAAAAUGAAAUAAAAACUGAUUUUUCAGGUGACGAUCCUGUAAAACAUUUGGAAAUGAAACAACAUUAACUCCGAGGAUAUAUAUACUAAUUCAUCUACAUGUGCCAGUAACCUUUACAAAGGUUCUGCUUCAGGAUCUAUCCCUUUUAACAACAUCAGAGAAAGCUAUAGAGAAAUGGUGCUGAAAUUUCUAAAAAGAUUGUAUCAUUUUAUAUGACAGGAGCCUGGAAAUGAUAGGUUAGUUAAGAACCUCUACAGUUUGACAUGGAUAAAUAGACACCUCAAGCUAGAGUUUUGAAUUUUAUAGAAUUAGUUGAAGAGAUCUUCUGUAGGCGAACAAUCUAUUCCUUUACGCUAUGCCACCUAUCUAUAUAUAU